This 61-nucleotide transfer RNA is filed under the name Paphia amabilis (short-necked clam). RNAcentral's name for it is "tRNA-Arg". The record is from RNAcentral. Lineage: Eukaryota; Metazoa; Mollusca; Bivalvia; Venerida; Veneridae.
GGGUAAGUGGCGUAAGUAGCGUGUAUGGUUUCGGGUCAUAAGGAGCAUUCUGCCUUACUCU